GAAUGAUAUGAUGAUUAGAUUAACCUAUUGGUUUGAUCGCCGGUAUGAUGGCGCUAAUAUCUCUAAUUUCUUUCUGAUCAUUC
Thalictrum thalictroides is the source of this 83-nucleotide non-coding RNA. Lineage: Eukaryota; Viridiplantae; Streptophyta; Magnoliopsida; Ranunculales; Ranunculaceae. The record is from the annotation of a GenBank genome assembly.